GACGAACGCUGGCGGCAUGCCUAAUACAUGCAAGUCGAGCGAACAGAUGAAGUGCUUGCACUUCUGACGUUAGCGGCGAACGGGUGAGUAACACGUAAGGAAUCUACCUAUAAGCGGGGGAUAACAUUCGGAAACGGGUGCUAAUACCGCAUAAUAUCUUCUUCCGCAUGGAAGAAGAUUGAAAGACGGCUCUGCUGUCACUUAUAGAUGACCUUGCGGUGCAUUAGUGAGUUGGUGGGGUAACGGCCUACCAAGACGAUGAUGCAUAGCCGACCUGAGGGGGUGAGCGGCCACAUUGGGAGUGAGACACGGCCCAAACUCCUACGGGAGGCAGCAGUAGGGAAUCUUCCGCAAUGGGCGAAAGCCUGACGGAGCAAUGCCGCGUGAGUGAAGAAGGCCUUCGGGUCGUAAAACUCUGUUAUAAGAGAAGAACAAAUUGUAGAGUAACUGCUACAGUCUUGACGGUAUCUUAUCAGAAAGCCACGGCUAACUACGUGCCAGCCGCCGCGGUAA
This 513-nucleotide ribosomal RNA is filed under the name uncultured bacterium. RNAcentral describes it as "partial 16S ribosomal RNA". It matches the Rfam family "Bacterial small subunit ribosomal RNA", at positions 28 to 523 of the family's 1533-position model. The record is from RNAcentral.